RNAcentral lists this ribosomal RNA (440 nucleotides) under uncultured bacterium. Its description in RNAcentral is "partial 16S ribosomal RNA". It matches the Rfam family "Bacterial small subunit ribosomal RNA", at positions 338 to 795 of the family's 1533-position model. The record is from RNAcentral.
CCUACGGGAGGCAGCAGUGGGGGAUAUUGCACAAUGGGGGGAACCCUGAUGCAGCGACGCCGCGUGGGUGAAGGAGCGUUUCGGCGCGUAAAGCCCUAUCGGCAGGGAAGAAGAUGACGGUACCUGACCAAGAAGCCCCGGCUAACUACGUGCCAGCAGCCGCGGUAAUACGUAGGGGGCAAGCUGUAUCCGGAUUUACUGGGUGUAAAGGGGGCGCAGACGGCAAUGCAAGCCAGGAGUGAAAGCCCGGGGCCCAACCCCGGGACUGAUCUUGGAACUGGAGGGCGGGAGUACAGGAGGGGCAGGCGGAAUGCCUGGUGUAGCGGUGAAAUGCAUAGAUAUUAGGAGGAACACCAGGUGCGAAGGCGGCUUACUGGACUGUAACUGACGUUGAGGCUCGAAAGCGUGGGGAGCGAACAGGAUUAGAUACCCCAGUAGUC